RNAcentral lists this ribosomal RNA (253 nucleotides) under uncultured bacterium. Its description in RNAcentral is "partial 16S ribosomal RNA". It matches the Rfam family "Bacterial small subunit ribosomal RNA", at positions 524 to 776 of the family's 1533-position model. The record is from RNAcentral.
UACGUAGGGUGCAAGCGUUGUCCGGAAUUAUUGGGCGUAAAGAGCUCGUAGGCGGUUUGUCGCGUCUGCUGUGAAAACUCGGGGCUUAACUCCGGGCCUGCAGUGGGUACGGGCAGACUAGAGUGCGGUAGGGGAGACUGGAAUUCCUGGUGUAGCGGUGAAAUGCGCAGAUAUCGGGAGGAACACCGGUGGCGAAGGCGGGUCUCUGGGCCGAUACUGACGCUGAGGAGCGAAAGCGUGGGGAGCGAACAGG